UACGUAGGGGGCAAGCGUUAUCCGGAUUUACUGGGUGUAAAGGGGGCGCAGACGGCAGCGCAAGCCAGGAGUGAAAGCCCGGGGCCCAACCCCGGGACUGCUUUGGAAACUGCGAGGCUGGAGUGCUGGAGAGGUAAGCGGAAUUCCUGGUGUAGCGGUGAAAUGCGUAGAUAUCAGGAGGAACACCGGUGGCGAAGGCGGCUUACUGGACAGUGACUGACGUUGAGGCUCGAAAGCGUGGGGAGCGAACAGG
This 253-nucleotide ribosomal RNA is filed under the name uncultured bacterium. Its description in RNAcentral is "partial 16S ribosomal RNA". It matches the Rfam family "Bacterial small subunit ribosomal RNA", at positions 524 to 776 of the family's 1533-position model. The record is from RNAcentral.